This 585-nucleotide ribosomal RNA is filed under the name uncultured bacterium. RNAcentral's name for it is "bacterial SSU rRNA". It matches the Rfam family "Bacterial small subunit ribosomal RNA", at positions 338 to 916 of the family's 1533-position model. The record is from RNAcentral.
CCUACGGGAGGCAGCAGUGGGGAAUUUUGGACAAUGGGCGAAUGCCUGAUCCAGCCAUGCCGCGUGCAGGAUGAAGGCCUUCGGGUUGUAAACUGCUUUUGUACGGAACGAAAAGACUCUGGUUAAUACCUGGGGUCCAUGACGGUACCGUAAGAAUAAGCACCGGCUAACUACGUGCCAGCAGCCGCGGUAAUACGUAGGGUGCAAGCGUUAAUCGGAAUUACUGGGCGUAAAGCGUGCGCAGGCGGUUAUAUAAGACAGAUGUGAAAUCCCCGGGCUCAACCUGGGAACUGCAUUUGUGACUGUAUAGCUAGAGUACGGCAGAGGGGGAUGGAAUUCCGCGUGUAGCAGUGAAAUGCGUAGAUAUGCGGAGGAACACCGAUGGCGAAGGCAAUCCCCUGGGCCUGUACUGACGCUCAUGCACGAAAGCGUGGGGAGCAAACAGGAUUAGAUACCCUGGUAGUCCACGCCCUAAACGAUGUCAACUGGUUGUUGGGUCUUCACUGACUCAGUAACGAAGCUAACGCGUGAAGUUGACCGCCUGGGGAGUACGGCCGCAAGGUUGAAACUCAAAUGAAUUGACGG